AGUGGCAGACGGGUGAGUAACGCGUAAGAAUCUAACUUCAGGACGGGGACAACAGUUGGAAACGACUGCUAAUACCCGAUGUGCCGCAAGGUGAGACCUAAUUGGCCUGGAGAAGAGCUUGCGUCUGAUUAGCUAGUUGGUGGGGUAAAGGCCUACCAAGGCGACGAUCAGUAGCUGGUCUGAGAGGAUGAGCAGCCACACUGGGACUGAGACACGGCCCAGACUCCUACGGGAGGCAGCAGUGGGGAAUUUUCCGCAAUGGGCGAAAGCCUGACGGAGCAACGCCGCGUGAGGGAGGAAGGUCUUUGGAUUGUAAACCUCUUUUCUCAAGGAAGAAGUUCUGACGGUACUUGAGGAAUCAGCCUCGGCUAACUCCGUGCCAGCAGCCGCGGUAAUACGGGGGAGGCAAGCGUUAUCCGGAAUUAUUGGGCGUAAAGCGUCCGCAGGUGGUCAGCCAAGUCUGCCGUCAAAUCAGGUUGCUUAACGACCUAAAGGCGGUGGAAACUGGCAGACUAGAGAGCAGUAGGGGUAGCAGGAAUUCCCAGUGUAGCGGUGAAAUGCGUAGAGAUUGGGAAGAACAUCGGUGGCGAAAGCGUGCUACUGGGCUGUAUCUGACACUCAGGGACGAAAGCUAGGGGAGCGAAAGGGAUUAGAUACCCCUGUAGUCCUAGCCGUAAACGAUGGAUACUAGGCGUGGCUU
Molecule: ribosomal RNA, 700 nt
Filed under: uncultured bacterium
Lineage: Bacteria
Description: bacterial SSU rRNA
Rfam family: Bacterial small subunit ribosomal RNA
Source: RNAcentral